RNAcentral lists this ribosomal RNA (465 nucleotides) under uncultured bacterium. RNAcentral's name for it is "partial 16S ribosomal RNA". It matches the Rfam family "Bacterial small subunit ribosomal RNA", at positions 338 to 795 of the family's 1533-position model. The record is from RNAcentral.
CCUACGGGUGGCAGCAGUAGGGAAUCUUGCACAAUGGGCGAAAGCCUGAAGCAGCAACGCCGCGUGGGUGAAGAAGGUCUUCGGAUUGUAAAACCCUUUUGUUAGAGAAGAAAGUGCGGGCGCGUAACGGUUCACGAUUGGACAGUAUCUAACCAGAAAGCCUCGGCUAACUACGGGCCAGCAGGUGCUGCAAAACGGAGGGGGCUAGCGUUAUCCGGAGUUAUUGGGCGUAAAGGGAGCGCAGACGGUCUAGUAAGUCAGAUGUGAAAGUCUACGGCUUAAACGUAGAAGUGCAUUUGAAACUGGCAGUCUUGAGUACAGUAGAGGUAAGUGGAAUUCGUGGUGUAGCGGUGAAAUGCGUAGAGAUCAAGAAGAACACUGAUUGCGAAGGCGGCCCGCUGGAACGUAACUGACGCUGAGGCUCGAAAGCGUGGGUAGCAAACAGGAUUAGAUACCCGGGUAGUC